Molecule: ribosomal RNA, 377 nt
Filed under: Haemaphysalis spinigera
Lineage: Eukaryota; Metazoa; Arthropoda; Arachnida; Ixodida; Ixodidae
Description: partial large subunit ribosomal RNA
Source: RNAcentral
UUUUAAAUUGCGGGAGUUUUUGACUAACAAAGGUAUGUAAUAAGGCUUUAAUUGAGUGCUAAGGGAAGGAUUUUCAAAAAAAAUCUUUUUUAAGUUUAAUAUUUGAAUUUAUUUUUAUUUGUGAAGAAACAAUAAUAAAAAUUAAAGACAAGAAGACCCUAUGAAUUUUUAUAAUUAUUUAUAAUUUAAAUUAAAUUAUAAAUAAUUAUUUAAUUGGGGCGAUUUAAAAAAAUAAUUAACUUUUUUAUUCAAAAAAUUGAUCCAUUAAUAAUGAUUUCAUGAAAAAAAUACUCUAGGGAUAACAGCGUAAUAAUUUUAGAUAGAUCUUAUAGAAAAAAUAGUUUGCGACCUCGAUGUUGGAUUAGGAUACUUUUUUA